This 1029-nucleotide ribosomal RNA is filed under the name Neohelicascus aquaticus. RNAcentral describes it as "SSU rRNA". It matches the Rfam family "Eukaryotic small subunit ribosomal RNA", at positions 69 to 1107 of the family's 1831-position model. The record is from RNAcentral. Lineage: Eukaryota; Fungi; Ascomycota; Dothideomycetes; Pleosporales; Morosphaeriaceae.
GCAAUUAUACCGUGAAACUGCGAAUGGCUCAUUAAAUCAGUUAUCGUUUAUUUGAUAGUACCUUACUACUUGGAUAACCCGUGGUAAUUCUAGAGCUAAUACAUGCUAAAAACCCCAACUCCGGAAGGGGUGUAUUUAUUAGAUAAAAAACCAAUGCCCUUCGGGGCUCUUUGGUGAUUCAUGAUAACUUCUCAGAUCGCAUGGCCUUGCGCCGGCGACGGUUCAUUCAAAUUUCUGCCCUAUCAACUUUCGAUGGUAAGGUAUUGGCUUACCAUGGUUUCAACGGGUAACGGGGAAUUAGGGUUCGAUUCCGGAGAGGGAGCCUGAGAAACGGCUACCACAUCCAAGGAAGGCAGCAGGCGCGCAAAUUACCCAAUCCCGACACGGGGAGGUAGUGACAAUAAAUACUGAUACAGGGCUCUUUUGGGUCUUGUAAUUGGAAUGAGUACAAUUUAAACCUCUUAACGAGGAACAAUUGGAGGGCAAGUCUGGUGCCAGCAGCCGCGGUAAUUCCAGCUCCAAUAGCGUAUAUUAAAGUUGUUGCAGUUAAAAAGCUCGUAGUUGAACCUUGGGCCUGGCUGGCAGGUCCGCCUCACCGCGUGUACUUGACCGGCCGGGCCUUCUCUUCUGGAGAACCUCAUGCCCUUUACUGGGCGUGUUGGGGACCAGGACUUUUACUUUGAAAAAAUUAGAGUGUUCAAAGCAGGCCUUUGCUCGAAUAUGUUAGCAUGGAAUAAUAGAAUAGGACGUGCGGUCCUAUUUUGUUGGUUUCUAGGACCGCCGUAAUGAUUAAUAGGGACAGUCGGGGGCAUCAGUAUUCAAUUGUCAGAGGUGAAAUUCUUGGAUUUAUUGAAGACUAACUACUGCGAAAGCAUUUGCCAAGGAUGUUUUCAUUAAUCAGUGAACGAAAGUUAGGGGAUCGAAGACGAUCAGAUACCGUCGUAGUCUUAACCAUAAACUAUGCCGACUAGGGAUCGGGCGAUGUUUCAAUAUUGACUCGCUCGGCACCUUACGAGAAAUCAAAGUGUU